RNAcentral lists this ribosomal RNA (458 nucleotides) under uncultured bacterium. RNAcentral describes it as "partial 16S ribosomal RNA". It matches the Rfam family "Bacterial small subunit ribosomal RNA", at positions 29 to 507 of the family's 1533-position model. The record is from RNAcentral.
AACGAACGCUGGCGGCAUGCCUAACACAUGCAAGUCGAACGAGACCUUCGGGUCUUGUGGCGCACGGGUGCGUAACGCGUGGGAACCUGCCCUUAGGUUCGGAAUAACUCCCCGAAAGGGGUGCUAAUACCGGAUAAUGUCUUCGGACCAAAGAUUUAUCGCCUUUGGUUGGGCCCGCGUUGGAUUAGCUAGUUGGUAAGGUAAAAGCCUACCAAGGCAACGAUGCAUAGCUGGUCUGAGAGGAUGAUCGGCCACACUGGAACUGAGACACGGCCCAGACUCAGACGGGAGGCAGCAGUAGGGAAUCUUCCGCAAUGGGCGAAAGCGUGAAGGAGCAACGCCGCGUGAGUGAUGAAGGUCUUCGGAUCGUAAAACUCUGUGAUUAGGGAAGAACAAAUGGGUAAGGAACUAUGCACGUCUUGACGGUACCUAAUCAGAAAGCCACGGCUAACGACGUG